AACAGGAUUUGAUACCCUGGUAGUCCAUGCCGUAAACGGUGGGCGCUAGGUGUGAGUCCCUUCCACGGGGUUCGUGCCGUAGCUAACGCAUUAAGCGCCCCGCCUGGGGAGUACGGCCGCAAGGCUAAAACUCAAAGGAAUUGACGGGGGCCCGCACAAGCGGCGGAGCAUGUGGAUUAAUUCGAUGCAACGCGAAGAACCUUACCUGGGCUUGACAUACACCGGAUCGCUGCAGAGAUGUAGUUUCCCUUGUGGCUGGUGUACAGGUGGUGCAUGGUUGUCGUCAGCUCGUGUCGUGAGAUGUUGGGUUAAGUCCCGCAACGAGCGCAACCCUUGUCUUAUGUUGCCAGCAUUUGGUUGGGGACUCAUGAGAGACUGCCGGGGUUAACUCGGAGGAAGGUGGGGAUGACGUCAAAUCAUCAUGCCCCUUAUGUCCAGGGCUUCACACAUGCUACAAUGGUCGGUACAACGCGUUGCGACACUGUGAGGUGGAGCUAAUCGCCUAAAGCCGGCCUUAGUUCGGAUUGGGGUCUGCAACUCGACCCCAUGAAGUCGGAGUCGCUAGUAAUCGCAGAUCAGCAACGCUGCGGUGAAUACGUUCCCGGGCCUUGUACACACCGCCCGUCACGUCAUGAAAGUUGGUAACACCCGAAGCCGGUGGCCCAAACUCGUUAGGGAGCUGUCGAAGGUGGGAUCGGCGAUUGGGACGAAGUCGUAACAAGGUAACC
RNAcentral lists this ribosomal RNA (728 nucleotides) under uncultured bacterium. Its description in RNAcentral is "bacterial SSU rRNA". It matches the Rfam family "Bacterial small subunit ribosomal RNA", at positions 771 to 1501 of the family's 1533-position model. The record is from RNAcentral.